Ostrea edulis (European flat oyster) is the source of this 1142-nucleotide long non-coding RNA. RefSeq lists it as uncharacterized. The transcript is spliced from 2 exons. The record is from RefSeq and is a predicted model, not a curated record. Lineage: Eukaryota; Metazoa; Mollusca; Bivalvia; Ostreida; Ostreidae.
GGGCAAACACGGACCCCUGGACACACCAGAGGUGGGAUCAUGUGACUAGGAGGAGUAAGCAUCCCCUGUUGACCGGUCACACCCGCCGUGAGCCCCAUAUCCUGAUCAGAGACGUCACCAACACCGGCAAAGGACUUCGAAUUUAGGCCUAUGUUCGGCGCUUACAGCCAUUGAGCAGUGAGGGUUUUUAGCAUGCCACACCUACCGUAACACGGGACAUCCAUUUCAAAUGUCAUCUCCGAGGAGACAUGGUAUUCACUCUUGAUUCCGAGGGUUUGACGAUGGAACUGUCACUACCUGCUUUAACGACUUAGGUCUGUCGCAACCAGGAUUUAAACCCUGACCGUCCCCAUGCGGAGCUGAAUGAUCAUUAUAUAUGAAUAUUUCCUUUUUCGUAAACGUUUGACAUUUUAGAAUAUAUUGUUGAUGUUUGUACGAUAUACCUACGGAUUUUUUAUGGUUUUGUUUUUGAUUUUUGUAGUAAUUUGCCUCGUUUUCUUUUUAGCUCUUACAAAUUUAUUAUUAUUUCGAAUUUCAAACAUUUCGGCUUGAGCAUCACUGAAGAGACAGUAUUUGUCUAAAUGCGCAUCUGGUGCAUCAACAUUGGAACCGUAUAAGUUUUACAUCAAACACAUACACAGAAAAGUUGAAAUAUCUAUAAAGAGCUUAGUCCUGUAGAUCUUAGCUAUAUCAGACAAGGUAACGUAACUUUACAAUCAAUACGGUUUUAUCUUCAGCAAAACGUGAAGAGUUGUUGUUCUUUGAGCUACUGAGAUAAUCCAUGUUUACAUUGAUUUACCUCGAGUAAACUAGUUGUGCUUUUUGUGAAGGAUAAGCAUUGAAUACAUUACCGGAUAUAUUGUAGGAUAAGAAACCCAGAAAAGUGAGACUGUAUUAUCAUAUCCUUAAUCCAGCCCUUAUCUAAUCUACAUUUCUUUUAAUUAUUAAAGUAAUACCAAAAUACAUAACAUUUCUCCAUAGUAAUAGAGUGUUUGUAAAUUCAAACCGUUUCCUUGUUUCACAGUUUUCAUGUUUAUCGUGUAUAUAAAACACAAAUAUGUAUAUCGAUGUAUAUGUAAAAAAAAAAGCAAUUCAUUUCCUAGAUAUUAGCAUAAAUAUUAAAUAAAAUCAAUUCAAACAUA